Molecule: long non-coding RNA, 1038 nt
Filed under: Ailuropoda melanoleuca (giant panda)
Lineage: Eukaryota; Metazoa; Chordata; Mammalia; Carnivora; Ursidae
Description: lncRNA (ENSAMEG00000026549.1)
Source: RNAcentral
UUUAGCUCGAAUAAAAGAUACCAGUCAAGUUCCCAACCUGAGCCACACAGUGUGGCCAAUAUAGUUUUCUUUCUCUAAUAAUCUGUGUUGUUCUUUUCCACAGCAUGACAUGGUCAUAUUUUAUCCAAAUGUGAAUUCACUGACGAAGGAACAUGAGGUUGACUUAUUGCUGAGGACUACGAGAAUAAAGUUAUUACAGAAUGAGUCACCUGGAAAACACAGGUAAAUAGAAGAAUGCUGAGAACACGAGUACGUGUUACUCUUUCAUUGGUACUUAACUUUAAGGAUAAAACAUAAAAAUUGGAUACUGCUAAGUGUCCCAAAAAGAUUAAUUUGUGAAAGCAAUAAGUGAUUGCUUUUUUUUUUUAAGGUUUUAUUUAUUUAUUUGACAGAGAGAGAGCACAAGCAGCAGGGAGCAACAGGCCUAGGGAGAGGGAGAAGCACACUUCCCACUGAGCAGGGAGCCUGAUGAGCGACUCAAUCCCAGGACCCUGGGAUCAUUACCUGAGCCAAGGGCAGACACUAAACUAACCGAGCCACCCAGGCAUCCCUGCAUUUCUUUAAAUAACCAUUAGAGAAGGUUUUCUUUUUUCUUUUCUUUUCUUUUCUUUUCUUUUCUUUUCUUUUCUUUUUUCUUUUCUUUUCUUUUCUUUCUUUUGUUUUCUUUUUGAAAACUUCAAAAUUAUCCAAACUCAGAUUUUGAAACCAAUUCUUCCAUUUGGAGAAACAAUAUAACAGAAUUAAUUGGUAUGUAAAAGACACACACAAACGCACUCAAGGCAAAUUUGGAAUCACAGAUCACAAAAGGAUUAUUUUGAUCGUCCAAGAAAGAUCAAAUAUAUUCACAAUUAUAUAUUCAAUUAUACGCACAAAAAAUGUUGAGGGUUUCGAAAGUUAUAUAUUACUAUUUGACAGAUGAGAAAAUUAUAAGCAUAAUAGUACUUUCUUUUUGAACCCAAUUGUUUAAUAGUAAUGAGUGUUUUCUGCUGUAGGUUAAAAUAUUAAAAUUCACAAGUUUUUUGCUUGUUAGAGAAACUU